Molecule: ribosomal RNA, 253 nt
Filed under: uncultured bacterium
Lineage: Bacteria
Description: partial 16S ribosomal RNA
Rfam family: Bacterial small subunit ribosomal RNA
Source: RNAcentral
GCAAGUCGAACGGUAACAUGAAGUGCUUGCACUUUGAUGUCGAGUGGCGCACGGGUGCGUAACGCGUCUACACUAUACCUUUUACAGAGGGAUAGCCCAGAGAAAUUUGGAUUAAUACCUCAUAGUAUGUUAAAGUGGCAUCACUUAAACAUUAAAGCUCCGGCGGUAAGAGAUGAGUAUGCGUUCUAUUAGCUAGUAGGUAGGGUAAUGGCUUACCAAGGCAACGAUAGAUAGGGGCCCUGAGAGGGGGAUC